GUCCACACCGUAAACGAUGAUUACUAGGUGUUGGAGGAUUGACCCCUUCAGUGCCGCAGUUAACACAAUAAGUAAUCCACCUGGGGAGUACGACCGCAAGGUUGAAACUCAAAGGAAUUGACGGGGGCCCGCACAAGCAGUGGAGUAUGUGGUUUAAUUCGAAGCAACGCGAAGAACCUUACCAGGUCUUGACAUCCGAUGCAUAGUGCAGAGAUGCAUGAAGUCCUUCCGGACAUCGAGACAGGUGGUGCAUGGUUGUCGU
RNAcentral lists this ribosomal RNA (262 nucleotides) under uncultured bacterium. Its description in RNAcentral is "partial 16S ribosomal RNA". It matches the Rfam family "Bacterial small subunit ribosomal RNA", at positions 793 to 1055 of the family's 1533-position model. The record is from RNAcentral.